This 114-nucleotide ribosomal RNA is filed under the name Franzmannia pantelleriensis. RNAcentral's name for it is "Halomonas pantelleriensis 23S rRNA. Bacterial LSU". It matches the Rfam family "Bacterial large subunit ribosomal RNA", at positions 2815 to 2925 of the family's 2925-position model. Lineage: Bacteria; Pseudomonadati; Pseudomonadota; Gammaproteobacteria; Oceanospirillales; Halomonadaceae. The record is from RNAcentral.
GAGGCCUUGCGCCUCCUGAAGGGCCCAGCGAGACUAGCUGGUUGAUAGGCACGGUGUGGAAGCACAGCAAUGUGUUGAGCUAACGUGUACUAAUGGCCCGUGAGGCUUGACCAU